UGGGAAGAUGCCGAAAAUCCUUAACAGAGUAGGCA
Molecule: non-coding RNA, 35 nt
Submitted as: unclassified sequences
Source: Rfam